Molecule: long non-coding RNA, 275 nt
Filed under: Gossypium barbadense (sea-island cotton)
Lineage: Eukaryota; Viridiplantae; Streptophyta; Magnoliopsida; Malvales; Malvaceae
Description: long non-coding RNA (GBAR_LNC004384)
Source: RNAcentral
AUUUUUACAAUUUAGUCCUUAUUUCAUAAAAUCACAAAUUCAUGCAAUUCAACCAAAACCCAUGGCAGCCGAAUUUCAAUUAGGUCCCUAGCAGCCCAUAUUUUUCAUUUAUUUCACAAUUUAACCAUUAAUUUUACGCAUUUCACAAUUUAAUCCCUAUUUGAACAUUUUACUAGAAAUCACCUAACAAAUGUUGUUUAUUUAACAACAAACAUGCAUUUUCUAUCAUUAAGCAUCAAAACACGCCAACAUUAAUCAAUGGAAAAACCCUAAAC